GGAUGUGAUCAUACCAGCACUAAAGCACCGGAUCCCAUCAGAAAUCCGAAGUUAAGCGUGCUUGGGCGAGAGUAGUACUAGGAUGGGUGACCUCCUGGGAAGUCCUCGUGUUGCAUCCC
This 119-nucleotide ribosomal RNA is filed under the name Triticum aestivum (bread wheat). Lineage: Eukaryota; Viridiplantae; Streptophyta; Magnoliopsida; Poales; Poaceae. RNAcentral also lists the same sequence under 1 other name. The record is from RNAcentral.